RNAcentral lists this ribosomal RNA (548 nucleotides) under uncultured bacterium. Its description in RNAcentral is "bacterial SSU rRNA". It matches the Rfam family "Bacterial small subunit ribosomal RNA", at positions 355 to 896 of the family's 1533-position model. The record is from RNAcentral.
UGGGGAAUCUUGGACAAUGGGCGCAAGCCUGAUCCAGCAAUGCCGCGUGGGUGAAGACGGCCUGCGGGUUGUAAAGCCCUUUUGGCGGGGAAGAAAGCCCUGGGUUAAACAGACUCAGGGGGUGACGUUACCCGCUGAAGAAGCACCGGCCAACUCCGUGCCAGCAGCCGCGGUAAUACGGAGGGUGCGAGCGUUAAUCGGAAUUACUGGGCGUAAAGCGCACGUAGGCGGUGAGUUAAGUCAGUUGUGAAAGCCCUGGGCUCAACCUGGGAACGGCAAUUGAUACUGACCGACUGGAGUGUAACAGAGGACCGUGGAAUUCCCGGUGUAGUGGUGAAAUGCGUAGAGAUCGGGAAGAACACCGAUGGCGAAGGCAGCGGUCUGGGUUAACACUGACGCUGAGGUGCGACAGCGUGGGGAGCAAACAGGAUUAGAUACCCUGGUAGUCCACGCCGUAAACGAUGAGAACUAGACGCUGGGUGGGUAACUGCUCGGUGUCGGAGCUAACGCGUUAAGUUCUCCGCCUGGGGAGUACGGCCGCAAGGUUG